AACUCGAGGGGAAUCGACCUCGAAAGCUUGCUUUUGAUGGGCGUCGACCGGCGCACGGGUGAGUAACGCGUAUCCAACCUGCCCACCACUUGGGGAUAACCUUGCGAAAGUAAGACUAAUACCCAAUGAUAUCUCUAGAAGACAUCUGAAAGAGAUUAAAGAUUUAUCGGUGAUGGAUGGGGAUGCGUCUGAUUAGCUUGUUGGCGGGGUAACGGCCCACCAAGGCAACGAUCAGUAGGGGUUCUGAGAGGAAGGUCCCCCACAUUGGAACUGAGACACGGUCCAAACUCCUACGGGAGGCAGCAGUGAGGAAUAUUGGUCAAUGGACGAGAGUCUGAACCAGCCAAGUAGCGUGCAGGAUGACGGCCCUAUGGGUUGUAAACUGCUUUUAUAAGGGAAUAAAGUGAGUCUCGUGAGACUUUUUGCAUGUACCUUAUGAAUAAGGACCGGCUAAUUCCGUGCCAGCAGCCGCGGUAAUACGGAAGGUCCGGGCGUUAUCCGGAUUUAUUGGGUUUAAAGGGAGCGUAGGCCGGAGAUUAAGCGUGUUGUGAAAUGUAGACGCUCAACGUCUGCACUGCAGCGCGAACUGGUUUCCUUGAGUACGCACAAAGUGGGCGGAAUUCGUGGUGUAGCGGUGAAAUGCUUAGAUAUCACGAAGAACUCCGAUUGCGAAGGCAGCUCACUGGAGCGCAACUGACGCUGAAGCUCGAAAGUGCGGGUAUCGAACAGG
Molecule: ribosomal RNA, 730 nt
Filed under: uncultured bacterium
Lineage: Bacteria
Also listed under: 1 other name
Description: bacterial SSU rRNA
Rfam family: Bacterial small subunit ribosomal RNA
Source: RNAcentral